GCGACCUCAGCUCAGGCGGGGCUACCCGCUGAGUUUAAGCAUAUCAAUAAGCGGAGGAAAAGAAACUAACAAGGAUCCC
Molecule: ribosomal RNA, 79 nt
Filed under: Schotia afra
Lineage: Eukaryota; Viridiplantae; Streptophyta; Magnoliopsida; Fabales; Fabaceae
Description: partial 26S ribosomal RNA
Rfam family: Eukaryotic large subunit ribosomal RNA
Source: RNAcentral